GAUGAACGCUGGCGGCGUGCCUAAUACAUGCAAGUCGAGCGAACGGACGAGAAGCUUGCUUUUCUGAUGUUAGCGGCGGACGGGUGAGUAACACGUGGAUAACCUACCUAUAAGACUGGGAUAACUUCGGGAAGCCGGAGCUAAUACCGGAUAAUAUUUUGAACCGCAUGGUUCAAAAGUGAAAGACGGUCUUGCUGUCACUUAUAGAUGGAUCCGCGCUGCAUUAGCUAGUUGGUAAGGUAACGGCUUACCAAGGCAACGAUGCAUAGCCGACCUGAGAGGGUGAUCGGCCACACUGGAACUGAGACACGGUCCAGACUCCUACGGGGGGCAGCAGUAGGGAAUCUUCCGCAAUGGGCGAAAGCCUGACGGAGCAACGCCGCGUGAGUGAUGAAGGUCUUCGGAUCGUAAAACUCUGUUAUUAGGGAAGAACAUAUGUGUAAGUAACUGUGCACAUCUUGACGGUACCUAAUCAGAAAGCCACGGCUAACUACGUG
Molecule: ribosomal RNA, 497 nt
Filed under: uncultured bacterium
Lineage: Bacteria
Description: partial 16S ribosomal RNA
Rfam family: Bacterial small subunit ribosomal RNA
Source: RNAcentral